RNAcentral lists this long non-coding RNA (4983 nucleotides) under Bemisia tabaci. RNAcentral's name for it is "lncRNA ENSSSA3NGG000464". Lineage: Eukaryota; Metazoa; Arthropoda; Insecta; Hemiptera; Aleyrodidae. The record is from RNAcentral.
CCGAAGACACACAGCCUCAUCCAGCCACUGAGUCACUAUUUUUCCAGUUCGAACAAGCAGACCUCUCCGGUAAAAAAAUAUAUGAUUUCGAAAUUUUCAUCAUGAAAAAGGAAAAAUUACAAAAAUAAAUUAUGAACCCGCCGCUUUGAACAUUUCACGCAUUGCAUCGAUCCGAAAAAAGCGAGUUGCUCUCUUUUCACGAACGUUUCUUCACCAAAAGCCUCGCUACAAAAGUCAUCUCCGCGUCAAAGUAUGUGCCACAAUUCAGUUCAAUGAAGACUCCAUUACACAAUGAAUUUGCGAAUAUUUUCCCAGUUUUUUCUUCAUAUUUCUUCUUAGUGCAUCUCUUACAUAUGAUACAGAGCGUUCCAAGUCCCCAACCCACCUUGGCUAGGUCAAGUUCCCAGACGUCGAUAUCAGAAUAUUUGAUAUUUGAGCCGCCUCCGAGCCCAAAUGUUCCUCUGUGCGAUCGCUCGAAGAUCAUCAACAAGUCUGCUGACGUCCACGACAUUUGCGAUAAGGAGUGCGCAGUCGUCACGGAGUCUAUCGAUGAGUUCUACACGAGAUAUGGUCACUACCACCCGGUUACAUGGCUUCACAAAAGAUGUGGUUUCAUCACUAAAGGCAACUGUGAUUUCUUAUUUCGAGAGUAUUUCCCGAUGUGCUAUUGUCUCACCCCAAUCGACGGCGCCGGACACAGAAGCAACUACGCACUCACAUGUCGUUACGCCAUCACGGGCAUCCGCAAUGUGUUGAACGCUGCUAUCUACGCCAGACAACGCGAGGCGAGACUGAGACAGGAACAAUUACGCAAGCUCCGCGCGAGGAAGAAACCCUAGGGACGCAUCCAGGAUCGACGUGAGGCAUGUUGAAUAAGACCCAAGCGGAUAUGCUUGUAAAAUUUUAGCGGAAAGGUGAAAAACUUACGUCUCACUCGGUAGUUUUCUCAAACUGAGUGUUCAGAGUACCAGCUGACCGAUUAUUGAAAUUGAUAGACAAAUCUAUAGGCAAAGCUAUAGACAAAGAAGACAAAGUUAUCUGGGGGAAUCCCAUUCUGCCGUGAUAAGGAAAAACGUCGUUUGAACCUUUAGGCGUUGCCAAAUUCCCUUGAUAAAACACAAGUUUCCUGGAACACUCAUGAAUAUUUAUACCUUUCAAUUUUUCAGAUAAAAUGGGCCUGUUGCAUACAAGAGAUACAGCCGUAUGAAUAGACUUUUCAGAGGUAAAAUGACACGAAAAUUACGAUGGUCACAUUAAAAAAGUCUGAAAUACACUCCUUACUGCGCAAUUUGCGUUGUUAGAAACGCGCUUCAAAUUUCCCGCGUCUGGGGGCAGUUUUCUAACGGAAACAAGUAACGGUAACUCGCGGCUAUUUCCGGUCAACUAAAACUGACAACAUAACCUGAAAAUCGGAGAUCGUGAUAUCGUGAAAUGAAAUGUAGAUGGAUUCCUAUGGAUAUUUAAAAGUUGAUUAAUUUAGUUACCGCGUAAAGCGUAUAUGGACCACUAUGAGAGAUCACGUUGGGUUUGUAAACAAACUGAAGGAAAAAAGAAGAACAACAACAACGACUCGGCAUUUUCCGGAAAUCACCGAGCCCGCCGUUUGCUCGUUUCCGGUGAUUAGAAAACUGCCCCCAGACGCGGGAAAUUUGAAAAAGCGCGUUCCCUACAACGCAAAUUGCGCAGUGAGGAGUGUAUUUCAGACUUUUUAAUGUGACCGUCGUAAUUUUCGUGUCAUUUAACCUCUAAAAAGUCUAUUCGCACGGCUGUGUCUCUUGCAUGCAACAGGCCCAUUGUUCGCAAUUUCACCUAAAGUCCCUGAAAAUUUCAGGGAAAAAUAGUCAUAUCUUUCCUAAAAAAUAAACAUUUUAUCGAAGGCAACUCUCGAAUGUUCAUACGGCGUUCUUUCUUAGCACGGCAGUAUUGGCGGAAGCAGGUGGUUGCAAUGGACAAAGGAGGUACGUAAUAGACAAAGUUAGCACUUAGCACCCACACGACCACGAGAGACCCGAUAGUUCUGCCGUGAUAGCAAAGAGAGCCGUAAGUGCAAAAUUUUCGAAAUUGAGUUUUCUUCAAAAUUCGUCUAAACUCUUUUAGAUGAAAUUACUGAGACAGCUAAAACAGCAAAAUUCAUCCAAAUUUAAUGAAAACGAGACGUAUGAGAAACCCGUAAGUGCACAAAAAAUGACUAUGGUUUUUUUCAAGACAGCCGUAGGUGCAUGAGAGCCAAUGAAAACAGUGCUUUCCAGUAAAGUGCCGCCCUCCUCUGCCAAUUUCUAACCUGAAAAUGUGUUUGUUGUGCGUCCAAAACGCAACCACGAAAGCAUGCAGAAGAUAGCACUUACGGCUGUCUUGCCUAACAAUAACCUAGCACGAAACUGAAUUUCACCUUUUUCAUGUACUUUAAAAUAAAAUCGGUCGAGUUUUAAUCCCCCAAAUGAUUUCUAGGAGUGAUCCGGACGAGUAGUGGCAAUUUGACAAAGAACGGAGGCUUCUUUCAAUUAAAUGUUCCGGUCAGAAGCUUCUGAGCCCGUUUUCUCAGAACUUCAUUUUUGCACUUACUGCUCCCUUCGCUAUCACGGCAGAGUUACUCAUCAUUUUCUCUCUUAGUCUAUAGGAAUCACCCACUUCAACCAAUAGGAUCGCUCCACACCCCCUGUCUUCCUUGUCUAUGGCUUUUUCUAUCAAUUUCAAUAAGUAGCCCGCAGACGCGCUUGAUUUCUGGAGAACCUGCAGUCUCUCAAACAGUUUUGUUCAACCGCACAGUGGAUCGAGUCAAUUAGAGAGGUUGGACAUGAAAAUUUUGACUAAAACUGCAAAUUUUUGUAUUUAGUUCGUCACAUUUUACAUUUCAAGGGAUGAUAAAUGUAGACAAUUUCACGAGAAAACCAAUGGAAUCACUUCUGGAAACUUAAAGUUUUGUAUAAACGGAGUUAUAAGCUUUUAAAGUUUCCAAAUUGUGUCCGAUCUCUCCUGUUCACUAAAUCCACUGUGAAAAAAUGAUUCCCAAAUUUUGUAUACACUGCGUUUUGUAUUUUGUAUAUUUUUUAGGCGUAUCAAAAAAAGGAAUGUAGGAGCCAACCCAUAGCUAGGACGGAAGUCGCAUUUAUUUUUGUAAAAAGUUCAAACAUGAAAAAGAGAAGACAAGGGUUAAAGAGUCAACAAAAACUGUAGCUGAACAUGUUUUGGAGGGUUUUACUCCUAAAACAUUUAUAACGUGUUUUUCACCGCGUGUUUAUUGUUCGACCAGAAUACUUAGUCCUAGAUGUCAUACGUAAAAUUCUAAUCAUUCAUUUAAAUACAUUUUCUGUUUGGCGAUUUUUUCAAAAAAGGUUGAAAAUUUUCGAAUCUUGUACUGUAAACUGUGUUUAAUGCGUGUAGUAUUGAACUCAUCUCACUACCCAAGAGUCACACGAAAUUUAUUCAAGUUUAAUCAAAUAAGUUGGAAACAAAAUGCUCAGUCAAUUUUGAAAAGUUAAAAAAAAUAGGUGAGAUCACUUAGGGAUACAAUUUUAGAAAAAAAUCCGAUUCUGGUAGAAUGUAUGAUAGGUCUGUUGGGUAUUGACUAGAGUGAAGGGGAAAUUUCAACGUGCAUAUUUUUGUUUCGUCAGAGCUAUGGAGCGAAUUGGAAGAAGAAACAUGAAAAAAACGCAUUAAAUUAACGGAGUUUUCCAUCUUUUAUCGAAAAUAAAACGAGUGAAUCACUGAAUCAUGUCAUUAAUUUUGAUGCAACAACUAAAUUGAAACUAUUAAUCUAUGGAACAAAUGUUGCACUCGAUCUUUUAGUUUCAUUAAUCGUAUUUUACGUAGCAUUUCGUUCCGAUGACAGAGAAAAUGAAAUGCAUUUUGCACCAUGUGCAAUUUGAAUAUAUUUACUCCGCCGUGCUAAGAGAGAACGCCGUAUGAAACUUCAGGUGUUGCCACAUUUCCAGUGGCGUGGCGUGAAUUGCGAUGUAUCGAUUGGUAUGCCAUUUAAACCUAUAGUAAAGAAUCGAUUAUUAAGGUGCUCGCUGCGAACACCCUGUUUAUCGAUCCUUUUCCAUUGGUUUAAAUGGCACAACAAUCGAUUUAUCGCAAAACACGGCACGCCACUGCACAUUUCCAUUUCCAAAACACGAAUUUCCUGGUAAACUUAUAAAUAUAUUAUCAUCUAAUUUUCUAUAUAAUGUUGUUUGCAAUUUCACCUUAAGUUCCUGAAAAUUUCAAGGAGAAAUGUCCAUAACAUUCCUCAAAAAUGAACAUUUUAUUGAAGGAAAUUUGGUAACACUCGAAUGUUUAUACGGCGUUCUUUCUUAGCAUGGCAGUACUGGCCCAUUUCCCUGACAUGAUAAACAAAAGAUGCCUUCACAUACUGUUUCCUAUGAUUUACUUCGAGAUUAUGUAAAAAUCUUUGUCCCAUGAGAUGUGUCAGAUUUUUACUUGUAUCUCGCACAUUUUUAUCUGGCACUCAUGCCUGGUUUCGUGAGAUGAGUAUGAAUGGGAGAACAAAAUCAAGACAAAAGGCAAGACAUUUAGACAGUUAUGAAGAUAGAAAAUAAAGUGUUUAAUACGGCUUAUAGCUUGUUCGUCGACGUCGCAUCAUCGUGAACGGCAGGCCCUUUGCUUCCAAUCUUGCGUUCUGCAACUAUCAAGCAAAGUGGGCAAAAGUUAGUCCCAUGUAAAUAAAAAUGACUGUAGGUAUGAAAUGGUUCUUUGGGCUGAUUUACGCAAAACCAGCCAAGCUGCAUUUUAUGUCGCCUAGUUUGACCAAAUUUUGCAAAAAGAAACUUAAGGCAACCGAAAUGGACUACUGGCGUAGAUCGGCCGGAGUGUCGAGAAAGGAUCGCAAGGAAUGAGAAGAUACGAGAAAUUAUGGGCGUCGAAAACAACAUAGUACAUGAAAUUUUUACAAAACAGCUUGUCUGGUAUGGUCAUGUGCAACGGAUGACAGAUGAUAGGUUGCCUAAGAAGGUUCUGGAUUGAGUCCCCCCUGGCAGAGAGCGU